UGUCGCGAUAUUAGACCGUAAUAAACCAGCACGUAGAUAAUCAAAUACACGACACGUAACAAGGGCCAAGCAUCCACCAGCACGUAGAACGGGCCGCAUUGGUAAUUUAGGUACCAUUGGUUUGGUCAAUAGCCAAUUCCUAUUUGGCUCGGAUCCAACGGGUCAAACAAACCGGUCAUGCCAAGGAUAAAGAUCAAAGCUUAGAAAUCCCUCGUUUCGGCUCAACCUUCGCUCGAUCGUUCGUUCCUUAUCAUCCUUUAUCCUUUCUUCUCGCGUUAUACUUUUCAACGCCUAGGAAUCGAUGGAUAACUUUUUCUUUUAAAAGAAUCUUUAAGAUCGGUUUCGUCUCGUGAUUCGUUCGUCAAGGAUAAUUCGUUUGUACCUCAUUUGCGAGAUGUAUUACGAAAUUUGCUCGAGUAAAGUCGAUCGAUUUAUUAUUUUUUUUUAAAAUAAAGAACCGAGUUGGACGGAUUUCAUUCGAAGGAAAAAUUAUGAAAAAUUAAACGAUUCGUUGGGUGGGUCGGAAAUUGAACUUUUGUCGUGGAUAGGUGACCGAUCAUGCAAGGGCGCAAACGUCGCUCGAUACUCUUGAGUAUUCACCCAUACUCGGGCUUAGUAAAAUUACUUUUCUCUUCGUCGCACGAAAUCUGAUAAAACGCGGUGAGAGGAGAGAGAGAUCGAGAUAAAACUAUUUUCGUAUUUACUUUUACAAAAAAUUUAUUAUAUAUCACGAAUAUUUAAGAAAAUUCUCGAUUUUUAAUUACACGUGUAACGAAUAUAGAUCCUUUUCGUAUCAAAUCGUUGUAGUUUCUUUUUCAUUAAGGUCGAAAGAGAAAGGAAAAGACAUUCCGUUUUAAUCUUUCCAAAGGAAUUAUUCGAUCGAGGGAAGAGCGAGGAAAGAAGUUAAGGGAAGGGUGUUUCCUUCUUUUCCUAGUCAUAUUUCGCACUUCUCUUUUUCACUCUAUUUUACUUUACUGUACAUAUACUUUCAUCCCCGUGUUAAUCGGUACACCUGGAUCUUUUAAUUUUAGCAAUCCAAGGACUUUGCGCCCCAGUUUUCGAAAACCUAGUUAGAGAAUAUAUAUUCGCAAGAGUUAUGUAUAUCGACCGUUCCUGCUCCCACUCCUUUUCAUCUUUGUUCUCUUCGUUUCCCGUCCCGUCUCUAGAUUUCCAACAGUGGCGUAACAUCGCCUCGAUGUUCCGUUGCCAAAUGGAAAAUUUCAUUCUCUCUUCUCGUUACACAAGGUUUGUUCGUUCACGAUUUGUCGAAUAUCGACGAAUAGUUCAACGUAACGGAGAGAUGAUCGUUUCUUCGGAUAUCGAGUCACAAAAGAUUUUCCUUCCUGUAUCCUAUUUCUUUUUUCGUCCCCCUUUCAAUCAAAUUUCAUCGAAUUUCUUCUCGUAUAAUGUAUAAAAAUAUCUCGAGUUUACGUUCAAUCUGAACGGAUAAUCGAUCCUUCCACUCUUGGCGACGAAAGAUCCGAUCGGAGGGAAAGUUUUUUGCCUCGUAAAAAGGAGGGGGGAGCAAUCUUGGUUUAUAGUCGCGUUUAAUUAUGCGUAUGGAUCUAUAAGAGGGCUCGUAGGAGAGCCUGGCAUGAUCGGCGGCUCGAGUAUACCCUCGAGUAUACUCCUAUCUAGCUUUAUAACGCGCGUUGACGUUGUCUCGGUAGUGAGUCAGCGGCCAGCUGCCUGUCCUUACCUUAUUAAAGCGCACGUGCUAUCGCUCGUAAUCUCAUAAAUAUACGCGGGAUAACGGGGCACGCGUGUAUACGCGUCGAAGCAAAAAAUAUUAUCAAUUAUUGCGCACGAUACGCGGUCAAACGUGAUGAGCCGAGUGCAAGUAUUCGAACGAGAGAUGAAAAUCGAUCGGACGAUUGCUAAUGCGAAAAUGGAAAUGAAAAUUGACGGAUGGGAGAUCGUAGAUCGAUAAAGAAAUGGGAUAUCGAACAGGAGAGAGAAAAAAAAGAAACAUUUUCUCAAUCAUAUAACGUUCGAAAGCAGGACCGGUCCCAUGCCGAAUACGAAUACCAUCUAUAUUAUUUGCCAUGACUUAGGAACAUGGUAUCAAAUCAUAAACAAAUAUUCCGGUAACGAGAAGCAAACAGUGCGUUCGUGGGACAGUGGGUGGAUGGUGGAUGGUAGCGUAGGGUAAUGGUAGGUAACCAAAAGAGAUAUAAAAGACAAAAAGAACGGAGGGAAGGGUAUAACAAACGAAAAUGAGCCGAUAUUCGCCCUACGACGAAUUCAAACUAGCAACUACUACUAUAGAUUAAAUAUAGUCUAUCAACGAGAAAAUUCUGAAAUAAAAAUUCGUUUCAAGAUUUAUUAUUA
RNAcentral lists this long non-coding RNA (2331 nucleotides) under Apis mellifera (honey bee). RNAcentral's name for it is "uncharacterized LOC102654248, transcript variant X1". The record is from RNAcentral. Lineage: Eukaryota; Metazoa; Arthropoda; Insecta; Hymenoptera; Apidae.